UUCCUUCCACGUGACCUACAACUAUUAG
This 28-nucleotide non-coding RNA is filed under the name Bombyx mori (domestic silkworm). Lineage: Eukaryota; Metazoa; Arthropoda; Insecta; Lepidoptera; Bombycidae. The record is from RNAcentral.